UCCCUGGCGGUCCAGUGGUUAAGCCUCUGCACUCCCAAUGCAGGGCACAUGGGUUCGAUCCCUGGCCAGGGAA
Molecule: transfer RNA, 73 nt
Filed under: Ovis aries (sheep)
Lineage: Eukaryota; Metazoa; Chordata; Mammalia; Artiodactyla; Bovidae
Rfam family: tRNA
About the family: Transfer RNA (tRNA) molecules are approximately 80 nucleotides in length. Their secondary structure includes four short double-helical elements and three loops (D, anti-codon, and T loops).
Source: Rfam by way of RNAcentral